ACUGGCAAGAAGCCUCCCAUGCAGGAUGAAGCCAAGGAAGAAGAGAAGAGAGGAAGGACACGCCCAUUAACCAAAGGACCCAAAACAUAUCUCAAGGAGCUCAUGAAGUCAUCCUCAUGCACACAGUUUCCCAGGUGUCAGAUCUGUUUGGGCCACAAACCUAAGAAGAACAUCAUGUGAGGAUGAAGGCAGAGAGCAGGGUGAUGCAGCUGAAGCCAAGGACACUGAAGACUUCCUGCAAACCCCCAGAAGCUGGGGCAGAGGCCCUCCAGUCUCCAGAAGAGGCCAACCAUGCUGAUACCUUGACCUUGGACUCCUAGCCCCAGAACUAUGAGAAAUAAAUUUCUGUUAUUUAAGUCACUCAGUUGUCUUACUUGGUUGUGGCAGCCCUGAGAGGCUAAUUCUCAGCGCUUUCUCUGAAUGUCCUCAACACUCUCCUGGUUCUCCUCCUGCCUCAAAAGCACU
This 465-nucleotide long non-coding RNA is filed under the name Homo sapiens (human). Its description in RNAcentral is "HSALNT0300909". Lineage: Eukaryota; Metazoa; Chordata; Mammalia; Primates; Hominidae. The record is from RNAcentral.